AACUGUAUACUGCUACCUAAGAAGACUAAUUUGAUUGUCUGCCCUGAAUUACAGGUUUGUCUCCCGUGAAUUACAGACUUUGUUCCGGUCAUGACGUUAUUUACAUAAUACGUGUAAUCACUCGAGAAAAGUUUUUAAAUAAUCAACAGUGGCAAGUGUUUCAACAAAUACGUAACACAUAAGAAUAAGGCUGUUACACGCAAACAUAUCCAUUAUUUUUGUUUAUUUUGGAAUUCCAAUGGGGCAGUUCGUAUUUUAUGCUGUUGCGAGUGGGAGAUAAAAACGUUAUGAAGGAAUGUUAUGGAAACAAACAACUAUGAUGUUGCCUUUAAGAGCAGAAAACCAUAUUCUUAUAUCCAUUCCUUGCUGUUUUGUGUUGAUGUAUUCUACAGUUGUAGUCUUCCUGAGAUGAAAACAAUUUAAUUCCAGCACCAUUCUAUCGAUAUCAUGGACUUGAGGCAGACUGUGGUGUUUAUCUGUGUUUUGUGUGCAGAACUGCCAGUCAGUAUGUUAGAAGGUCAACAACAGCACAGGAACAUUUUUGUGUUUACACAGUUUGGUAAGACGGCCAUAUUAAGAUGUUCUUCACGCAUUGUGCCACCGGCAACAAAAUUCUCUUGGAAAUUCCGAACUUCACCGUUGACCGAAACCGGCAGGACUCUGGAAAUCAAACCACUUGAUGAUGGCAGGACUUACUUUGGAAUCUACUCGUGUAGGGCCACAAACCAUCUAGGAAAGUCAGAAGAAAAUCUACAUUCAUUUGAAAAAGUCAAUGGGUGUAAAGUCACGAAGUAAACUAGAACCUGAAUAUCUUGUUGUGAUCGGGAUGAGUGUCUUGUUCGGUAUACUUCUUUUCCUUGCCUGCUUCUUCACAGUACUUGAAGGUCACCGGGUCACUGAGCCGCACCAGUGCUUGCUGGAGUCGAACCACAGCCAUGAUCCGUGUAAUCACGUGAACUGUCACACCAGUCUCGUCAAAUGCCACAACGAGCUUAGGAAAAAGUUCCGUGUUCAGAGAAAAAGUCACUCUCGGGAACAGUUUGCUUGAAGGGCAAACACCACACCAAACCUGGUUCUGAAUGGUGCAUACAGAUUUGAAAAGAGCUUGAAUUUGAGUGGUCGUAGUGAAAAAACCUUUGAAUUUGUGAAAAACCCAUGAAAAGUGCUUGAAUUUGGGGAAAUCCUCUUGAAAAGUGCAUAUUUCCUGUGAAAAAAUAUAAAAUUUACCUUCCUCAAGUUUAUUUUCUCAUAAUCCCAAAAUUUGUCAGCUUGUAUUAUUGACAGUUUUCACUAGCCGGUAUAAUAUUUUCACAAAUAUAAAAUAUUCUUGGAUGUGUUCUUACAAAUACUGAUGAAUAUACAGGGGUGCAGAAAUGGAAAAUAUUUCACUAGCCUGUUGGACCAGAACCAGCUAAAAUUUACUAGCCCAGCAGACUUUCUACUUGUCCGUCAGCCUAUAGAAUAUAUUACUGUUCAACUUCAAAUGGUAUAUAUAUAUUUUUUUUUCUUGGUAAGUGAUCAACAUCAUGUAAAAAAUGAAACAACACCCAAACCUUAACUGACAAAUCAAUAAAAAAAAUUAAUAUUCCGGUAAAUACUAAGUUUUUCACAUUCUUUUAUAUAGAUUUACAAAAUUCAAGUGACAUCCAGGAAGUGUUUAACAGAACAAUCUAUUCAGAGCACACCGCGGAUUGAAUGCAAAAACAAAAUAUGGAUAUAACGAAUUAAAUUAGUCAGUCAGAAAAAGACAGAUCACCAGUUGGGCUGGUAGUUGCAUUUUUUAACCCGUCACAUUUGGCGAUCGGGCGAUUACUUUCUGCAGCCUUGAAUAUAAAUGACUGGUACCGAUGAAUAUACAUGUAAAUAUGAUAUACACAGAGAAAAAUACAUGAGUGGCCGUUAGAUACCAUUUAUCUCAAGAGUUGUUUUAAAAUGCAAAUUUUAACAUCUUUUUUGACUAAAGGUAUUUACAGC
Molecule: unclassified non-coding RNA, 1974 nt
Filed under: Gigantopelta aegis
Lineage: Eukaryota; Metazoa; Mollusca; Gastropoda; Neomphalida; Peltospiridae
Description: uncharacterized LOC121386907, transcript variant X1
Source: RNAcentral